GUUGGGGGUAUUAUAUUAUACCUAAAACAACUAUUUGUACUUUUAAUUUUCAUUGUCUGUAAAAUGUUUUGUUUUGGUAAUUUGGUAAUUUGGUAAUAAAUUGGGGGUGUGACAAUGGUGUCUUGUAAGGACAUAAUAAUGACUUGCAAAGAUUUCCACUUCACCUUUUACAUAUGACUUUUACAUCGUUAACGAGUGUUUAUGUAUAAGGGC
Molecule: long non-coding RNA, 213 nt
Filed under: Mytilus galloprovincialis (Mediterranean mussel)
Lineage: Eukaryota; Metazoa; Mollusca; Bivalvia; Mytilida; Mytilidae
Source: RNAcentral